AUGGCCCAUGGGAAGAGGUCUAGGCAGCAGGCCGAGUCGACCUCGGUCAGCCUGCUGGACCUGGACAGCGGCGACAUGGCGCGCAUCCUGCUGCUCUUCUCCGGCCACCACCAGCACCACGCCCACUACGGGCCUUCGUCGCCUGAGAGGGUGUUCGAGUGCAAGACCUGCAACCGGCGGUUCCCGUCCUUCCAGGCGCUCGGUGGGCACCGCGCCAGCCACAAGAAGCCGCGCCUGGCGGACGGCGCCGGCGCCGAGCCGCCCAAGCCCAAGGUGCACGGCUGCUCCAUCUGCGGGCUCGAGUUCGCCGUCGGCCAGGCGCUCGGCGGCCACAUGCGCCGCCACCGCGCUGUCGCGGCGGCAGGGCCCGGCGUCGGGCUUGGGCUCAGCCUCGGCCUCGGUCUCGGGCCGAACGAGGACGGCAACAAGAAGGCGGCGGCGGCGGCCGAGCUGGCGCUCGACCUGAACGAGCCGGCACUGGAGGAGGAGCCGGCCGAUCGCGCCAUGCUUGGGCUCGCCGUGGGAUUCCGGCCCCGUGGUGGUUGA
This 546-nucleotide ribosomal RNA is filed under the name Triticum aestivum (bread wheat). RNAcentral describes it as "partial small subunit ribosomal RNA". Lineage: Eukaryota; Viridiplantae; Streptophyta; Magnoliopsida; Poales; Poaceae. The record is from RNAcentral.